RNAcentral lists this ribosomal RNA (294 nucleotides) under uncultured bacterium. Its description in RNAcentral is "partial 16S ribosomal RNA". It matches the Rfam family "Bacterial small subunit ribosomal RNA", at positions 775 to 1067 of the family's 1533-position model. The record is from RNAcentral.
GGAUUAGAUACCCUGGUAGUCCACGCCGUAAACGAUGAGUGCUAGCCGUUUGUAAUUAAUUACAAGUGGUGCAGUUAACACAUUAAGCACUCCGCCUGGGGAGUACGAUCGCAAGAUUAAAACUCAAAGGAAUUGACGGGGGCCCGCACAAGCGGUGGAGCAUGUGGUUUAAUUCGACGCAACGCGAAGAACCUUACCAGGUCUUGACUUCCUGACUAUGGUUGUUAGAAAUAACUUCCUUCAGUUCGGCUGGGUCAGUGACAGGUGCUGCAUGGCUGUCGUCAGCUCGUGCCG